RNAcentral lists this long non-coding RNA (3352 nucleotides) under Homo sapiens (human). Its description in RNAcentral is "HSALNT0027126". Lineage: Eukaryota; Metazoa; Chordata; Mammalia; Primates; Hominidae. The record is from RNAcentral.
AGAAAAGCAGCAAAGCCCUGGGUAAUCAAGGCCCUAAACGGAAAGUGUCAGGAUCUUGGGGAUCGUAUUGUAUAAAAUGGAUGAAAACAGAGCUAUUGGGUUUGAAGCACUCCUGAACCCUCUCAUGGAACCCUAUGUCUUCCUGGAGUCUACAGAGCUAUUGGGUUUGAAGCACUCCUGAACCGUCUAGUAGAACCCUAUGUCUUCCUGGAGUCUACAGAGCUAUUGGGUUUGAAGCACUCCUGAACCGUCUAGUAGAACCCUAUGUCUUCCUGGAGUUUACAGAAAAAGAGACUCAGGGAUUUUCCCAAAGCACACUGCAAGUUAGGGGCAGGAAUGACAGCCCAGACCUUCUGGUUUCCAGUCCAGGGCUCAACUGCCUAAACAGUGGCAUCUCUUCAGGCAGGCCCUGUCAGAGGCAGCUCCCAAGUUGUGAUGUUGCCACCAGUAUUAGAACACAGUGGUCUCCAAAAUCUUGCCAAUGAAUCCUCCAAGUUUCCCCCUCCAGAAAUCAAGAGAAACCUUCUAAUAAAACUUUGUUAUCAAACUGAGUUUUAUUUGUGAGGAUGCCUAAAAAACAUGCCUAUUAAGAAGUGAAGAUGCUGGCCCCAAGAUUCCGUGUAGCUUGCCAGUGAGUGGGAAGAUUGGCCCGGGACCCUGGCUGAUGGCCUUUCCACUAUAUUGCAGCAUUGAGCAUGCAAAUAACAUUGAUUAUAUAAGGGCCUUUGGUGUAAAGCAUGUAAAAUAAAUGUGACAAGCAAUGCUGGAUGAUAAAUGCUUAUUUCCUUACUUUCAGAAAGUAACUAGAGGGCUCAUGCCUUAAAAAAAAAAAAAACUUACCAGAUAAAUAUGAACUAAAGCCUUCAUUUUCUGAGUGGCAAGGAAAAAAAACAAUUUUCAUUAAGAAUUCUUUUUAAUUUAGCCAGUAGAGAUUGAGAUUUGGAGUUAUUUGCCUCUGAUUCUUGUCUAGUUUCAGGCCAAACACUAGCUAGUUGCUAGGACCUUGGCCAAGUCUGCAGUCUCUUUGGGCUCAUUUCUAUAAUCGUAAGAUGAGAGUUAGGCCCAGGAUGUUGUAACACUGCCCCUUUUGAGGUUUUCCCCAAAGGGCAAAACUGACAGACUAAGGGGAAAGUCAAAGAAAAGAAAAACAAAAAUCAUCUCCAAAGAUGCUAGAAAAAAAAAAAGAAUAGCGUUAUUUACUUGCCAUAGUAAGGAUGGUGAAGUACUCACAGCAGGCAAUAGUGGCACAGAAAUUAACUUGGUAUGGCGUCUUGAGUUCAACCUCUAGUUGGCUACCUAAUAGACACGUACAUAAAUGUUUUUGUUUUAGGACAGGGUCUCACUCUAUCACUGGGGCUGGACUGCAGUGGUGCAAUCACAGCUUAUCACAGCCUUGACCUCCCGGGCUCAGGUGAUCCUCCCACCUCAGUCUGGCAAGCAGCUGGGACUACAGGCGUGCAUCACCAUGCCUGGCUAGUAUUUUUGUAGAGGCAGGGUUUUGCCAUGUUGUCCACUGGUCUCAAACUCCCGGGCUCAAAAGAUCCACCUGCCUUGGCGUCCCAAAGUACUGGGAUUAUAGGCGUGAGCCAUGGCACAAGGCUCACAUACAUAACUUUGAGCUAAUAAUUUCAUUUCUUUUUUUUUGAGACGGAGUCUCGCUUUGUCGCCCAGGCUGCAGUACAGUGGUGUGAUCUCAGCUCACUGCAAGCUCCACCUGCCGGGUUCACGCCAUUCUCCUGCCUCAGCGUCCCGAGUAGCUGAGACUACAGGAGCCUGCCACCAUGCCCGGCUAAUUUUUUUUGUAUUUUUAGUAGAGACGGGGAUUCACCGUGUUAGCCAGGAUGGUCUCGAUCUCCUGACCUCAUGAUCCGCCCGCCUCGGCCUCCCAAAGUGCUGGGAUUACAGGCGUGAGCCACCACACCCAGCCAUAAUUUCAUUUUUUUCUGAUCAGAUGUUCUGUCACUUAAGGGCACUUGAGAUGAUUAAAUAUGAAUGUGCAUAGUACAUGACCAGGUAUCCAAAAAGACUUCAAUAAACCUUGGUUCCUUCUAACUAAAAGGGCUGUAUAAACAUGCUAAGGUGUUAUAAUUUUAGGGGCAGUUUCCAGCAUUUCCUCCCGGGUAUUAUUACUUGCCACCUCCAAAGCAUUAGCUCUGAAGGCAUAACCUUUUCUUUUUUUUUCUUCUGAAAGAGACAGGGUCUCUUUGCAUUGCUCAAGCUGGAGUGCAGUAGCUAUUCACAGGCAUGAUCAUCAAGCACCACAGCCCCAAACUCCUGGGCUCAAGUGAUCUUCCUACCUCAGCAUAGCUGGGACAACAGGGUCAUGCCACUGCACCUAGCUGGCAUAGAAAUUUUUUUUUUUUGAGACACUGUCUCAUUCUGUUGCUCAGGCUGGAGUGCAGUGGCACACUGCAGCCUCAAUCUUUCGGGCUUAAGCAAUCUUCCCACCUCAGCCCCCUGAAUAGCGAGGACCACAGGCGUGCACCACUAUGCCCCGCUAAUUUUUGUAUUUUUUGUAGAGAUGGGUUUUGCCAUGUUGCCCGGCUGGUCUCAAACUCCUAGGCUCAAGCAGUCCACCCACCUCGGUCUCCUGAAGUGCUGGGAUUACAGGCACGAGCCACAGUGCUUGGCCAGCAUAGCCACUUUAAAAUGAAGUGUGGGUUAAGGAGUAAACUGGCAAGUUUGCCCCAAAUUCGAUUUCAUGAUGAUCUUGACAUCUACACAGUGGUGUCACUUAACAGGAGUAUGUUCUGAAAAACGCCUCGUUAGGCGACUUCAUCGUUGUGCAAAUAUCACAGGAUGUACUUACACAAGUACAUGGCAGAGCCUACUACACACCUAGGCUAUGUAGUAAAGCCUAUAUUCCUAGGCUACAAACACGUACAGCACGUUACCGUACUAACUACUGUAGGCAAUUUCAACAACACUAAAUAUUUGCUGAACACAAAAGAUACAGUAAAAAUCACUGCUGUAUAUGCAGUUCUUGCUACACGUAAACUGUUUAGCUAAAUAACAUUAAUUCCAGAGAAGGCAAAGCUUACCAAAUACAAAUUCUACAUGGGAGAGUGAUAGAGAUAUAAGGCAGAAUAAAACAUGCAAAAUUGCAGUCAGGCGCGGUGGCUCACACCUGUAAUCUCAGCACUUUGGGGGGCCAAGGUGGGCAGAUCACCUGAGGUCACAAGUUCAAGACCAGCCUGGCCAACAUGGCGAAACCCCAUCUCUACUAAAACUACAAAAAUUAGCCAUGCGCGGUGGAGGGCACCUGUAAUCCCAGCUACUCAGGAGGCUGAGGGAGGAGAAUCGUUUGAACCCGUGAGGUAGAGGCUGCAGUGAGCUGAGUUUGUGCCAUUGC